Molecule: ribosomal RNA, 397 nt
Filed under: uncultured bacterium
Lineage: Bacteria
Description: partial 16S ribosomal RNA
Rfam family: Bacterial small subunit ribosomal RNA
Source: RNAcentral
AUACGUAGGUGGCAAGCGUUGUCCGGAAUUAUUGGGCGUAAAGCGCGCGCAGGCGGUCCUUUAAGUCUGAUGUGAAAGCCCACGGCUCAACCGUGGAGGGUCAUUGGAAACUGGGGGACUUGAGUGCAGAAGAGGAAAGUGGAAUUCCAAGUGUAGCGGUGAAAUGCGUAGAGAUUUGGAGGAACACCAGUGGCGAAGGCGACUUUCUGGUCGGGAACUGACGCUGAGGCGCGAAAGCGUGGGGAGCAAACAGGAUUAGAUACCCGGGUAGUCCACGCCGUAAACGAUGAGUGCUAAGUGUUGGGGGGUUUCCGCCCCUCAGUGCUGCAGCUAACGCAUUAAGCACUCCGCCUGGGGAGUACGGUCGCAAGACUGAAACUCAAAGGAAUUGACGGGG